UCUGGUUGAUCCUGCCAGUAGUUAUAUGCUUGUCUCAAAGAUUAAGCCAUACAUGUCUAAGUACUAACGAAUAAAAAGUGAAACCGCAAAAGGCUCAUUAUAUCAGUUAUGGUUCCUUAGAUCGUUAACAGUUAAUUGGAUAACUGUGGUAAUUCUAGAGCUAAUACAUGCAAUUAAAACAUGAACCUUAUGGGACAUGUGCUUUUAUUAGGCUAAAACCAAGCGAUCACAAGCGUUCGUUAUAUUGGUUGAACCCUAGAUAACAUGCAGAUCGAUGACAGAUCUUUCAAAUGUCUGCCCUAUCAACUUUUGAUGGUAGUAACUAGGACUACCAUGGUUGCAACGGGAAACGGGCAAUCAGGGUUCGAUUCCGGAGAGGGAGCCUAAGAAACUUCUACCACAUCUAAGGAAGACAGCAGGCGCGUAAGUUACCCACUCCCAGCUCGGGGAGGUAGUGACGAAAAAUAACAAUACAGGACUCAUAUCCGAGGCCCUGUAAUUGGAAUGAGUACACUUUAAAUCCUUUAACAAGGACCAAUUGGAGGGCAAGUCUGGUGCCAGCAGUCGCGGUAAUUCCAGCUCCAAUAGCGUAUAUUAAAGUUGUUGCGGUUAAAACGUUCGUAGUUGAACUUGUGUUUCAUACGGGUAGUACAACUUACAAUUGUGGUUAGUACUAUACCUUUAUGUAUGUAAGCGUAUUACCGGCGGAGUUCUUAUAUGUGAUUAAAUACUUGUAUUUUUUCAUAUGUUCCUCCUAUUUAAAAAUCUGCAUUAGUGCUCUUAAACGAGUGUUAUUGUGGGCCGGUACUAUUACUUUGAACAAAUAAGAGUGCUUAAAGCAGUCUUCAAAUGCCUGAAUAUCCUGUGUAUUCUGAUAAUGAAAUAAGACCUCUGUUCUGCUUUCAUUGGUUUUUAGAUCAAGAGGUAAUGAUUAAUAGAAGCAUUUGGGGGCAUUAGUAUUACGACGCGAGAGGUGAAAUUCUUGGACCGUCUUAAGACUAACUUAAGCGAAAGCAUUUGCCAAAGAUGUUUUCAUUAAUCAAUAACGAAAGUUGGAGGUUCGAAAGCGAUCAGAUACCGCCCUAGUUCUAACCAUAAACGAUGCCAGCUAGCAAUUGGGUGUAGCUACUUUUAUGGCUCUCUCAGUCGCUUCCCGGGAAACCAAAGCUUUUGGGCUCCGGGGGAAGUAUGGUUGCAAAGCUGAAACUUAAAGGAAUUGACGGAAGGGCACCACCGGCAUAAUUUGAAUCAACACAGGAAAACUUACAGUUUGAUAGCUCUUUCUCGAAUCUAUGGGUGGUGAUGCAUGGCCGUUCUUAGUUCCUGGAGUGAUUUGUCUGGCUAAUUCCGAUAAGAACGAUACUCAAAUAUAUUAAAUAGAUAUCUUCAGGAUUAUGGUGCCGAAGCUUAUAUUGCCUUAUUGUGUUUGAAUGUGUUUAUGUAAGAGGAGCCGUACCUGUUGGUUUGUCUCCUUAUAAGGUCACUAGCUUCUUAAAUGGACAAAUUGCGUCUAGCAAUAAUGAGAUUGAGCAAUAACAGGUCUGAGCUGCACGCGCGCUACAAUAAAAAUCAACGUGUAUUUCCUAGACCGAGAAGUCCGGGUAAACCGCUGAACCGUUUUCAUGCUUGGGAUUGUGAACUGAAACUGUUCACAUGAACUUCGAAUUCCCAGUAAGUGGGAGUCAUUAACUCGCAUUGAUUACGUCCCUGCCCUUUGUACACACCGGCCGUCGCUACUACCGAUUGAAUUAUUUAGUGAGGUCUCCGGACGUGAUCACUGUGACGCCUUGCGUGUUACGGUUGUUUCGUAAAAAUUGACCGAACUUGAUUAUUUAGAUGAAGUAAAAGUCGUUACAAGGUUUCCGUAGGUGAACCUGCGGAAG
Molecule: ribosomal RNA, 1883 nt
Filed under: Drosophila erecta
Lineage: Eukaryota; Metazoa; Arthropoda; Insecta; Diptera; Drosophilidae
Description: SSU rRNA
Rfam family: Eukaryotic small subunit ribosomal RNA
Source: RNAcentral